GACAUCGACCUCCACCAUCUUCACGCCUUCUCCAUCUUCAAGAUCCUAAUCUAAACCUAAUCUAAGAAACAUAUGAAUAGGUGCAUACAAGUGAAAGAAAUAAAUUUCUAAAUCAAAUGGUAUGUAAAUGAUGCAAAAUUAACAUCAUCUGAAAGAUUAAGAUGAAUCUUAAGACUUCCUAAUAGGGUUCAAGUCCAAUCAAGAUCUAAUUGAUGGUCAAAAAUUGAUAUUUGUGAAAUCGCGCAUGUCAGCCACAAACAAAACAAAAUACAAUGCAUGUUUAAUGGUUCGUAAGACCACCUAGACAAUGUAUAAA
RNAcentral lists this long non-coding RNA (316 nucleotides) under Eucalyptus grandis. Its description in RNAcentral is "long non-coding RNA (EGRA_LNC000201)". Lineage: Eukaryota; Viridiplantae; Streptophyta; Magnoliopsida; Myrtales; Myrtaceae. The record is from RNAcentral.